RNA transcript from Carlito syrichta (Philippine tarsier), 518 nucleotides. It is a transcript of the gene named histone deacetylase complex subunit SAP18 pseudogene, with no coding region annotated. The record is from RefSeq and is a predicted model, not a curated record. The transcript has a single exon. NCBI's taxonomy places the organism in Eukaryota, Metazoa, Chordata, Mammalia, Primates, Tarsiidae.
AUGCUCUCGGCGGGGGUCGGAGAUCAGGGCCAGCGUCUUGUGGGCCGCAGGAGGAAGAUGGCGGUGGAGUCGGGCGUCACCCAGGAGGAGAUCAAGAAGGAGCCAGAAAAGCCCAUCGACCGCCAGAAGACUUGCCCGCUGCUGCUGCGCGUCUUCACCACCAACAACGGCCGCCACCACCGCGUGGACGGGUUCUCCUGCGGGAACGGGCCGUCCAGCGAGCUGCAGAUCUACACCUGGAUGGAUGCAACCCGGAAAGAACUGACUGGUGUAGUGAAAGAAGAAUACCCAGAAGCUAGAAGUAAGGGCACACACUUCAGUUUUGCCAUCGUUUUCGCUGAUGUUAAAAGACCAGGUUACCGAGUUAAGGAAAUCGGCAGCACCAUGUUUGGCAGAAAGGGGACUGAUGACUCGUGACCCUGCAGUCGCAGAAGUUUCAGAUAGGAGAUUAUUUGGACAUAGCGAUCACCCCUCCAAACUGGGCACCACCCCCCUCAGGGCGCAUGAGACCAUGUUAG